This is a small nuclear RNA of Rana temporaria (common frog), 115 nucleotides long. RefSeq annotates it as U5 spliceosomal RNA. Lineage: Eukaryota; Metazoa; Chordata; Amphibia; Anura; Ranidae. The transcript has a single exon. The record is from RefSeq and is a predicted model, not a curated record.
AUACUCUGGUUUCUCAUUAGAAUGAAUAAAUCUUUUGCCUAUUGCUAAAGAUUUCUGUGGAGAGAAACAACCAUGAGUUUUGGUGAUUUUUUUUAUGGUUGGCUAAUGCUGGGCC